This 459-nucleotide ribosomal RNA is filed under the name uncultured bacterium. Its description in RNAcentral is "partial 16S ribosomal RNA". It matches the Rfam family "Bacterial small subunit ribosomal RNA", at positions 338 to 795 of the family's 1533-position model. The record is from RNAcentral.
CCUACGGGGGGCAGCAGUGAGGAAUAUUGGUCAAUGGGCGGAAGCCUGAACCAGCCAAGUAGCGUGCGGGAUGAAGGCCCUACGGGUCGUAAACCGCUUUUGCACGGGGAUAACACCCUCCACUUGUGGAGGUCUGCAGGUACCGUGCGAAUAAGGGCCGGCUAAUUCCGUGCCAGCAGCCGCGGUAAUACGGAAGGCCCGAGCGUUAUCCGGAUUCAUUGGGCUUAAAGGGAGCGUAGGCGGGCCUUCAAGUCAGCUGUAAAAUCGCGGGGCUCAACCGCGCCCCGCCGUUGAAACUGGGGGUCUUGAGUGCAAAACAGGCAGGCGGAAUUCGUGGUGUAGCGGUGAAAUGCAUAGAUAUCACGAGGAACCCCGAUUGCGAAGGCAGCAUGCCGGGGUGCGACUGACGCUGAGGCUCGAAGGUGCGGGUAUCAAACAGGAUUAGAUACCCGUGUAGUC